CAUGGACAGGUGUGCCUAGGUGUGGCUCAGGUGUGUCACAGGUGUGUCACAGGUGUGCUCAGGUGUGUCACAGGUAUGUCACAGGUGUGCCCAGGUGUGGCUCAGGUGUGCUCAGGUGUGCUCAGGUGUGUCAUAGGUGUGCUCAGGUGUGGCUCAGGUGUGCUCAGGUGUGUCACAGGUGUGUCACAGGUGUGCUCAGGUGUGGCACAGGUGUGGCUCAGGUGUGGCACAGGUGUGUCACAGGUGUGCCCAGGUGUGGCUCAGGUGUGCUCAGAUGUGGCUCAGGUGUGGCUCAGGUGUGUCACAGGUGUGCUCAGGUGUGCCCAGGUGUGGCUCAGGUGUGCUCAGGUGUGCUCAGGUGUGUCACAGGUGUGUCACAGGUGUGCCCAGGUGUGGCUCAGGUGUGCCCAGGUGCGCUGUGUGCAGAUAGAGACAGCUGUGCUCACCUGUGGAGGGAGGAGCUGCGACCUGGGGUUACCUGGGGGUUACCUGGGGUUACCUGAGGAUACCUGGGGUUACCUGAGGAUACCUGGGGUCACCUGGGGUUACCUGGGGAACACCUGGGGGUACCUGAGAAUACCUGGGGUCACCUGGGGGUUACCUGGGGAACACCUGGGGGUUACCUGGGGGUAUCAGGGGUUACCUGGGGAACACCUGGGGGUACCUGAGGAUACCUGGGGAACACCUGGGAAACACCUGGGGGUUACCUGGGGGUUACCUGGGGUUACCUGGGGUCACCUGGGGAACACCUGGGGUUACCUGGGGAACACCAGGGGGUAGCUGGGGGUUACCUGGGGGUACCUGGGGUUACCUGGAGGUUACCUGGGGGUGCCGGGUUACCUGUCCUGACGAGCUCAGGUGUUGCAGACUCUCUGGAGCCGGAGCCGCCUC
This 891-nucleotide long non-coding RNA is filed under the name Parus major (Great Tit). Its description in RNAcentral is "lncRNA (ENSPMJG00000002548.1)". The record is from RNAcentral. Lineage: Eukaryota; Metazoa; Chordata; Aves; Passeriformes; Paridae.